This is a long non-coding RNA of Paramisgurnus dabryanus, 1017 nucleotides long. RefSeq lists it as uncharacterized. The record is from RefSeq and is a predicted model, not a curated record. NCBI's taxonomy places the organism in Eukaryota, Metazoa, Chordata, Actinopteri, Cypriniformes, Cobitidae.
AGUGGCGCGGACAGAGGAAAGGAAGGGAGACUUCAGGACGGCUAAUUUGAAUUUUACCACGAUAUUUCACCCACUAUUCAAGCUAAUGCAAGGUAUGUUGGCAAUACUUUAUUACAGCACACCUCACAGAUAUAUAGCAAUAAGUAUGCAUUCACAUGUGCAUCGUUUGUUUACUGUAGGUGCCAAAGCAUGAGGUGGUAAUGUAAAAAAUGCAGCUUUCAGUCAAACCGAAGACUACUGUACAGCUAUUAAUACACUUAAGUGCAUCCAACUCUAAUCAUCACUUGAUUGUGUUACAUUUUAUUUUCUUUGUUUUAGAUAAAAAUGAUUUCCGAAGAAUCACCACAAUUUCCUUGGAGCGUACAUUCUUGUAAAAGCUGGACUUCUAUACCCCAAAACUCCUGGCUUUGUUUGAGAUGAGGGUUGGGGUUGCUGGCAUAAGAAUUAAACAUUUGCUGGAUUCACUGAGCUAGCAAGAAGAUAGCCUUGAAGAUAGGUGAGAAGUUGUGAUUCGCUGCCUCCUAUCUUUCCUGGGAGAAUCAGCUAAGGAGCUCAUUGAAGACCACCAGGAUAUCAGCAGAGACAUGAUUAAGGAUACCUUAUUCAGUCAUGUCAUUAAAAUCAUCGUACUAAGCAGAUCUGUGGAAGAAGAUGCCGGUAUGUCUGAUGUCAUCAUUGUCAUUGAGGGAACUCUGGUGCUGCUGGGAUGUAAGAAUCUCACAAAUGCAUGUCUGUUUUUUUUGUUGUUGGUUUUUUUUGAUUGUUUUGUUUUAUGCAAGAAAUGUUGUUCACAAAACAACUUCAACUACAGUACUAUUUAACAUAGCCAUUCUUAUGCAUUUUAAGUAAUACUAUUCUGCUGAAGAAUAAUUAUUUUAUUUGAUGUCUUUUUUCACUUAAUUUAAUCUAAUUGAAAUUAAAAUAAGCUAAUGAAAGGCAGCUACUAGUUUGACUAUUUGCACAUUUGUUUUUGAUAUCUGCAACUGACAUUGCUGUAAUGUUUAUGUUUAAAUGUUU